Molecule: ribosomal RNA, 1362 nt
Filed under: Triticum aestivum (bread wheat)
Lineage: Eukaryota; Viridiplantae; Streptophyta; Magnoliopsida; Poales; Poaceae
Description: partial small subunit ribosomal RNA
Source: RNAcentral
AUGUCCAGUACCUCCUUCCCUCUCCUCACGCGGACCAACUAUCCCAGUUGGUCCGUCCUGAUGAAAGUCAUCAUGGAGGCGCGACAUAUGUGGGAAGCUGUGGAAACCGGCAAUGUCGAGUACGAGGAGGACCGGCUGGCGAUGGAGGCGAUCUUGCGCUCCGUCCCAGAGGAGAUGGUGCUCACCCUUGGCGCCAAGGAGACGGCCAAGGAAGCAUGGGACACCAUCAAGACUCUGCGCAUCGGCGUGGAGCGCGUACGGGAGUCGAAGGCCCGGACCUUGUGCCUCCAGUACGAGGAGAUCUGGUUCAAGGCCGGUGAACAAGUCGACUACUUCGCCUUGCGGCUGCAAGAGUACAAGCAACUGGCCUGGUCCAAUGAGAGUUUGGUGGAUCUCUCCACCAUGACGAUCGAGGAGCUGGUAGGGCGGCUGAAGGUCGUCGAGGAGCGCUGCGACGAAGCCGACAACCGUGCUGGCGGCGAACUAUACUGCUCACCAAGGAGCAGUGGGACGCACAGCUUCAGCAGCGCGGCCGCGACGGCUCUUCCGGCAGUGGGGGAGGCGCCCCCACGGGAAGCAGAGGUCGCGGCAGAGGCGGAGGCCGCGCCCAGAGCGGCCGCAGCAACCGUGGGCGCAAGCCAAGCCAGGCAGGCUGUGGAAACCGGCAAUGUCGAGUACGAGGAGGACCGGCUGGCGAUGGAGGCGAUCUUGCGCUCCGUCCCAGAGGAGAUGGUGCUCACCCUUGGCGCCAAGGAGACGGCCAAGGAAGCAUGGGACACCAUCAAGACUCUGCGCAUCGGCGUGGAGCGCGUACGGGAGUCGAAGGCCCGGACCUUGUGCCUCCAGUACGAGGAGAUCUGGUUCAAGGCCGGUGAACAAGUCGACUACUUCGCCUUGCGGCUGCAAGAGGUCUCGCAAUACAAGCAACUGGCCUGGUCCAAUGAGAGUUUGGUGGAUCUCUCCACCAUGACGAUCGAGGAGCUGGUAGGGCGGCUGAAGGUCGUCGAGGAGCGCUGCGACGAAGCCGACAACCGUGCUGGCGGCGAACUAUACUGCUCACCAAGGAGCAGUGGGACGCGCAGCUUCAGCAGCGCGGCCACGACGGCUCUUCCGGCAGUGGGGGAGGCGCCCCCACGGGAAGCAGAGGUCGCGGCAGAGGCGGAGGCCGCGCCUAGAGCGGCCGCAGCAACCGUGGGCGCAAGCCAAGCCAGGCAGGGUGAGGCGCUGGCAACGGUGGCAAGUGCCACUACUUCAACAUGCCGGGUCGCUGGAUCCGGGAUUGCCGCAGGAGGAAAGCCGACGAGGCAGCCGCGACAACGACAAACCUCGUCCAAGCUGACGUGGACGGCGGGCCGGCAAUGA